RNAcentral lists this ribosomal RNA (479 nucleotides) under uncultured soil bacterium. Its description in RNAcentral is "bacterial SSU rRNA". It matches the Rfam family "Bacterial small subunit ribosomal RNA", at positions 26 to 518 of the family's 1533-position model. The record is from RNAcentral.
AGGACGAACGCUGGCGGCGCGCUUAACGCAUGCAAGUCGAACGAGAUCCAUCCAGUAGCAAUACUGGUGAAGAUCGAGUGGCGAACGGGUGAGUAUCACGUGAGGAACCCACCCCGGAGACCGGGAUAACCCUCCGAAAGGAGAGCUAAUACCGGAUGUCCUCAUCGGAUCGCAUGUUCUGAUGAGGAAAUGGAUUCCGCUCCGGGACGGCCUCGCGGCCUAUCAGCUAGUUGGUGAGGUAACGGCCCACCAAGGCGACGACGGGUAGCUGGUCUGAGAGGACGAUCAGCCACACUGGGACUGAGACACGGCCCAGACUCCUACGGGAGGCAGCAGCGGGGAAUAUUGCACAAUGGGCGAAAGCCUGAUGCAGCGACGCCGCGUGGGGAUGAAGGCUCUCGGUUGUAAACCCUUUCAGCAGGACGAAAUCAGACGGUACCUGCAGAAGAAGCUCCGGCCAACUACGUGCCAGCAGCCGC